RNAcentral lists this ribosomal RNA (276 nucleotides) under uncultured bacterium. RNAcentral describes it as "partial 16S ribosomal RNA". It matches the Rfam family "Bacterial small subunit ribosomal RNA", at positions 333 to 601 of the family's 1533-position model. The record is from RNAcentral.
UUGUGCCUACGGGAGGCAGCAGUAGGGAAUCUUCCACAAUGGGCGAAAGCCUGAUGGAGCAACGCCGCGUGGGGGAAGAAGGUCUUCGGAUCGUAAAACCCUGUUGUUAGAGAAGAAAGUGCGUGAGAGUAACUGUUCACGUUUCGACGGUAUCUAACCAGAAAGCCACGGCUAACUAGGUGCCAGCAGCCGCGGUAAUACGUAGGUGGCAAGCGUUAUCCGGAUUUAUUGGGCGUAAAGGGAACGCAGGCGGUCUUUUAAGUCCGAUGUGGAAGC